This is a long non-coding RNA of Triticum aestivum (bread wheat), 4729 nucleotides long. RefSeq lists it as uncharacterized. The record is from RefSeq and is a predicted model, not a curated record. The transcript has 6 exons. NCBI's taxonomy places the organism in Eukaryota, Viridiplantae, Streptophyta, Magnoliopsida, Poales, Poaceae.
GGAGUCUCCUACUCCAUAAGGUCUCCUCGUUGUCUUCAUUUCUUGCCCACGGCCUCGGAGAGCAGGUCAUUUUGGCCAAUCGCGCGAACCGCAUGUUACGCUUCGACACCAUCGACGGUUGCAGCUACAUUGAUACAAUGCCUAGCCUCCACGGGUACAAGCACUCGCCGCUGGCCAUCUCUGUCCCUCCGACGGACUUGCACCUCCUUGGACGGCGAUGACACCGGCAACCUCUACAGCAUUGACGCCCACCUGCAAGGUCACCCCCCCGGUCCUUCCCCGACAUCAUCAGCGAGUACCUCGGGGCAGAGUCCGCGCUACCGUACCUGAGCCCCUACAUGUGCGGCGAGAACCUGCUCGUCGGCGCCAACUUCGUGUCCGCUGGCAUCGGCAUCCUCAACGACACAGGCGUGCAAUUCGCAAGCUCCACGCGCGCGCACGCACACAUGCUCGAAUCAGGUAUACGUAUCUACAAUAAUGCAACGGAGAUGACAAUAAUGUUGUACGUGUACGUGUGCGUGUGCAGGUGAACACAUCAGGAUCGCGCAGCAGUUGCAAAACUUCCAAGACUACCAGCGGAGGCUGGCGGCGUACAUCGGCGAGGACGCGGCGAGGGAGCGCGUGAGCCAGUCGCUGGUGCUCAUCACGCUCGGCGGCAACGACUUCGUCAACAACUACUUCCUGGUGCCCUUCUCCGCUAGGUCCCAGCAGUUUGAGAUCCACGACUACGUCCCCUUCAUCAUCUCCGAGUACAAGAAAGUCCUCGCGAUGAUGUAAUCAGCUAGAGAAGGACAGGAGCUUGCACAGAGUUUUUAGUAGAAGACGGCGUAAAUUGUGGUAUUCUCCGCAAUCUGGAAGUUCUUCAGAUCCAAAUCCUACUUCAGAAAGUGUAUAUGAAGCAAAGGUCUGCACCUACAUGUUAUCAGAAGUCAGGUCUUAGACAAGGUAAUGUUUUUCUAUCUGAUGAACUAGACAAGGUAAUGUUCGAACUUGGAAGUGAUCAAAUCAUAUGUUUUGGUAUGCAAGAGUGUAAGCUAACUAUUGUAUAUACAUGUUGCCUCUACAUUUUCAGUUUCUGCUUGUCUAAUGUAAAAAUUGUUAGGUGUUUUAUACUGAGCCAUCUGCCAUCUUGGCUUGUCUUAUACUGAGCCAUCUGCCAUCAUGUAUAUUGAUUGCGGUUGGAUUUUGGAGUGCCAUGGCUUCCAAUCUUACUAAUCAGUUGUUAGGUGUUUUCGGCAAGAAUCUUUUUACCGACAAGGAGGAUGAAGACGGGGAUUAACCCAAGGCAGCGGGUAUGGUCUCUAGGUCUUUUGGUUAUGUUUCCAAUUUGAAUUCGUCAAGUUGAGUUGUUUUCUACACGAGAUUGCAAGGUCGGGUAGCAUAUUUAAGUUUCUAGCGCAUAAAUAUUGCCACCAUGAUGGCGUCAUGAACUUAAUUUAGUCAUGUUGCCCAUCAAAUUUGCAUAUUAUAAUCAUAUAUAUCUCUAAUAGAAAGUUGCUUGCUAUAAGAAAUGCUAAUGGUACCUUUUGUUAUUCAUACAUUCUAAAAUCUCGCUGAACAUGGGCUUCCUUUAAUGUUCUAUCACCUCCUUUCUACAGUAUCCUGAUUUUAUGAAACAAACAAAUGAACAUGGAUAUGGCAUCACUAGAAAAUUUGGUCCUUCGGAUUUCAAAUACCCAUAUUUAGUUGGACAACUAUUAACUCAGACUAUACUGCUUAUCUGUAGUAUAACGCCCUGACUCUGAACUCUUUAUUUGCUGAAAAGUAGCACCUUAAUGUCGUGUUUAUAUGUUCCAAAAUUGUACGGAAUACUACUUCAGUGAUGAUGAUCUUUCGAUGGAUGUGUAUUCACUAAUAUUAUGCUAUAGGUUAUCUCUCUUUUGGGUAUCUUCCUUUCUUUAGUAACUCAAAUUUCCAGUUGGCAACUCAAUUUCCCAUGGCUUGGAUGCGGAGGGGUCGUGGCAUGUCACAUAGGUGUGCUCAGGUGAUGCUACGGCAAAGGGCGGCGGCUCGGCUGAAGAGGGUUUGUUCGGCAGUGAUGUGGCAUGCUCGGGCCCAUGUGCGGAUGCGGUGGAGGGUGACACCGUGGCUACGACAGAGGACGGCGCUGGGCACAUGGGUUGGGCCAGGGCGUUGCUGCAGACUCGGUAUCGAGCGUGGCUGGAUGCUCGGCUGGGUUACUGGCCUCCGCAUCGCCAGCGUGCUUGUCCUUCGGUGUGGCUGCAGAGUCAGGCCAGGGCAUGGUUGGGUCCUUGGCCUCGGGUACAUGAGCUUAUCCAGAAGGGCUGAUAUGGAGGACAUGUCGUGUUGCCAUUUCCAUCUGCGAACAGGCUCCCAACUUAAUAAAUUGGAAUGUGAUACCAAUGUUGUUCACUGCAACCUGGAGAUACCAAUGUUGUUCACUAAGUUGGGAUGUUAGCAGCUUAUCUGUUAUUCGCAUAACAGAUCAACCAGAUGACAAACAAACCUUUGUAAUCAGGUACCUGACAAGAAGACAUUUUAUCACAUGAUAAAAGCACUUACAUGAUGCUCUUAAAAUGGGAGUUAGAUUAUGUAUGUUAUGAUACUGGUCAAGUAAUUUUGUCUAAUUAUCAAACUAUAGCAAACCACUUCAUUCAUAUAGUUGUUUGUCUCACCGGUAUUUUUUGUCCGAACACAUCAUCUCAACAUAAGCAGAACAUGAACAAUUGUGACACCGAGUUAAUUGAUACUUCGUUUUAUACGUAGACCUUUAGGAAAUAGAAACCGAGGAUUCUAGGUAGUAAUUAAAUUGAUUAGCAACCCACUUACCAUUAAGUUCUUCAUUUGAAUUAUUUUAAUUGUUAACACUUCAAAAUUGUGACACCAAGUUAGUUGAUACUUCGUUUUAUACAUAGCCCUUCAGCCCAUCUUGAUCAUUGCUAAUAUAAUGAAUAGGUGUGUUCAUGGUUUAAAUAAGCUUUACUGUUUCAGUAUGUAUUAAGUUAUUUGUUAGAGAAAAGACGCGGCUGAGCCUGAGAAGGGAUCUAGCUUGGCUGAUAAAGCUGCAACAUCCAACAUAACACAAGAACAACAUAAAAUGGAAAGAUACAUAGGCGCUCGAAAGUAGCUUACUAUGCCUCGACAUUUCAUGCCAGAGCCAACCAGUGAUUUCUCCCGAUCUGGAUCCCCACCCCAAGCUCCGCCCGCAGUCUGAGGCCUGGCCAGCCAGCUAGCUCGGCCAAAAUCCGGCGGGAGGAAAGCACACCGAGCAGGGAAGAUGAGUAGCUACCAGAAUUGGCACCGUCAGCCACCUGGCCAGCUAUGCCAUGGCCCUAAUCCACCGCUGGUCAGUCGACCAAUCAACAAGACCAUCAAGCAGAGGGGUUGUCACCCUAGAACUAGGGCUCUCCUUCGCCGGGCAGGAGCAGCACGGGCCCCGUCGCCACAAUCCCCAGCUGCAUCAUGAGCUUGCCCGGCGCCACCCUCCUGUGGCGGCUAGGAGGGAGGAAUGGUUACGUCGGCGGGAUGGGCGGCGCAUCCACCUUUGGUAUUAAGUUAUUUGUUGGUUCGGCUGAAACUUAUCUUGUUCCUUAGUUGAAUUAGACAUCAAAUAUACAAGCUUUGUUUUUUGUCAGCAAACAGGUGAACUAAUAAAGGAAGAGUUCUUCCAUGAAUAGUAGUACAUUUACUAUGCAGAUGAUCUGGACAAGUAAUCAAACAAGUCAGCACUAUCUCACUAGGCAGGUUAUUAUUUAAGAUAUUUUCCACUUCUGAAUCUUUGCUCAAAUCGCUCGAUCAUUCGGUCUAUUUGUUGAUACCGUACAAUGAUUUUCAAUUUUCGUUGUAGUCCAAUCUUUGUUGAUUCAGGAAGAUGGCCCUGCUCAACGAGCUCAAGCAGCGUCCACGAGCAAGGCCAUCCACAACGGAAAUGUUGUGACUAAAGAUAAUUAUACGCAUAUUCAGUUAUAUAUAUGUAGAAAGUUUCUGUAUUUUCUUUUAGUCAUUACGCAGAACACUCAAUAUUCAAUAUUAGAUGACACAUUGGUCACAUCAUCCAGUAAAUUUGUUAAUCAUAAUAAAUCAUGGAUGGUUGCUAAUUUUGGACAUAGAAUGCUAAUAAGUUACAACCUCAACCUCAAGUAAUCUGAGAGUAUUUAGAUUUUGAUGCAGCUAAACCUAUCCAGCACGAUGCGCAAACUCUUCUUGAUUGCAGCAUGUUAAAAUGUCGACAUUUCCCAGGUAUGCAUUUAUUUGUAGUGUACCUGUGAAAUAUUGUGAGAACUUGAGUGUUACGAGUAUACUGGUUUUGUAGCUAAUCUUUUUCCAGUUUGUGCAGAGCAUCAGGAACCUUAAUGUCGAGAAUGAAAAUUCUAAUAUCAAUAACUUACCUAUUCUAAUAUUCUUUGAGAAACACCGUUGAAGAAUACAAGUUACAAGAUAUACUUAUUGUUAGUUCUUCGUCGACACCUACUAUUCUUAUUGAACCUUAGUUGUUAACAAUAUGUAGUACUCUAGGAACAAUGGACAGAAGGUUCUGUUUUCCAGGUGAUUCUACUAAUGUUGGCUCUACCAAAGUAUCUCUUCUGCAUGAUAUCUGCUUAAAUAUGGAAAUGAGAAAGUUAGUAUCUCGGCAGCAAGUAGGAACUUAGGCAAUGGACUGCAUUUUUGGAUUGGUAGUGUAUAUUCCGAUAUUUUUUAAACACAUGUGAGGAGUGAAAGUUGUAAAAUUACUUGUGUGGGUGUAGCGACCAGACCUCAAACAGUCUAA